CCGGUGCGCCCCCGGCGG
RNAcentral lists this small nuclear RNA (18 nucleotides) under Arabidopsis thaliana (thale cress). RNAcentral describes it as "snRNA_17311". The record is from RNAcentral. Lineage: Eukaryota; Viridiplantae; Streptophyta; Magnoliopsida; Brassicales; Brassicaceae.